CCCUCGCCGGCCGAGACCCACCCCCGGCCCUCCCCUGGCGGCAUGGAGGGGCCCCGCUCCUGACGGCCGCGCCGCCGCCUCGGCCCCCGCCCCGCCCCACGGCCCCUCCCGCCCGCCCCCGCUCGCAUGUCCGCGCCGCCCUAGCCGAGGAUGCUGAGGAUGAAGCUGCCGCUGAAGCCGACGCACCCUGCCGAGCCGCCGCCCGAGGUGGAGGAGCCCGAGGCGGACGCGCGGCCGGGCGCGAAGGCGCCGCCGCGCCGUCGCCGCGACUGCCGCCCUCCGCCGCCACCGCCGCCGCCGCCGCCCGCGGGCCCGCCGCGGGGCCCCCAGCCGCCGCAGCCGCCGCUGCCCCGGGGGCUCGGGCCGCCUGUUGCUGGCGGGGCGGCGGCGGGGGCGGACAUGCCGGGCGGCGGCGGGGGACCCGCGGCGGCGCUGCGCGAGCAGGAACGAGUGUACGAGUGGUUCGGGCUGGUGCUGGGCUCCGCGCAGCGCCUGGAGUUCAUGUGCGGGCUGCUGGACCUGUGCAACCCGCUGGAGCUGCGCUUCCUCGGCUCGUGCCUGGAGGACCUGGCGCGCAAGGACUACCACUACCUGCGCGACUCGGAGGCCAAGGCCAACGGCCUCUUGGACCCAGGGCCUCUGGCUGACUUCCGAGAGCCCGCCGUGCGCUCGCGCCUCAUCGUCUACCUGGCGCUGCUGGGCUCGGAGAACCGGGAGGCUGCCGGCCGCCUUCACCGCCUCCUGCCCCAGGUGGACUCGGUGCUCAAGAGCCUGCGCGCGACCCGGGGCGAGGGUUCGCGGGGCGGCGCGGAGGACGAGCCAGGCGGCCAGGACGGCAGCGGCGAGCAGGAUGCCGAGAAGGACGGCUCCGGCCCGGAAGGCGGCGGCGCCGAGCCCGGAGCCGGAGGCGGGCUCGGCUUCAGGGCCCAGGAGGAACUGCUGCUGCUCUUCACCAUGGCUUCGCUGCACCCGGCUUUCUCCUUCCACCAGCGGGUCACCCUGAGGGAGCACCUGGAGAGGCUCCGCACCGCGCUCCGCGGGGGCCCCGAGGAAGCGGAGGUGGAGUCGUGCAACUUUGCCGGCUCCAGGGCCCAGAAUGACACUGCUCAUGGUGAUUACUUGCAAAGUAAUGAGACUGGUUUGAUAGAACAAGCCCCAAUACCUCAGGAUGGACUUACCAUGGCACCUCAUAGAGCUCAGCGAGAAGCUGUACACAUCGAGAAGAUAAUGUUGAAAGGAGUCCAGAGAAAAAGGGCUGACAAAUAUUGGGAGUAUACUUUCAAAGUAAAUUGGUCUGAUCUUUCGGUCACAACAGUAACAAAAACUCACCAAGAACUACAGGAAUUCCUACUGAAGCUUCCAAAGGAAUUGUCUUCAGAGACUUUUGACAAGACCAUUUUAAGAGCCCUGAAUCAGGGUUCCUUGAAAAGGGAGGAGAGGCGACACCCUGACCUGGAGCCCAUCCUAAGGCAGCUAUUUUCAACUUCAUCACAAGCUUUUCUACAGAGUCAAAAAGUACACAGCUUUUUUCGGUCCAUAUCGUCAGACUCUCUACACAGUCUCAGUAACUUACAAUCCUCUCUGAAGACCUCUAAGAUACUAGAACAUUUAAAAGAAGACAGCUCAGAAGCUUCAAGUCAAGAAGAAGAUGUGUUGCAGCACACCAUAAUCCACAAGAAACAUACUGGGAAAAGUCCCAUUGUGAACAGUAUUGGUACGAGCUGCUCCCCAUUGGAUGGGCUUACCAUGCAAUAUUCUGAACAGAAUGGAAUUGUGGAUUGGAGGAAGCAAAGCUGCACCACCAGUCAGCACCCAGAGCACUGUGUGAACCUAGCUGAGCAGCAUUCUGCAGAAAAACGGAGUUUAUCUUCAUUAAAUAAGAAGAAAGGAAAGCCACAAAUAGAAAAGGAGAAAAUUAAGAAAACGGACAACAGGCUGAAUAGUAGAAUAAAUGGUAUUAGGCUGUCCACUCCUCAGCAUGCCCAUGGUGGUACUGUGAAAGAUGUGAAUUUGGACAUUGGAUCUGGACAUGACACAUGUGGAGAAACAUCUUCAGAGAGUUACAGUUCUCCGUCUAGUCCACGACAUGAUGGAAGAGAAAGUUUUGAAAGUGAAGAAGAAAAAGACAGAGACACAGACAGCAAUUCUGAGGAUUCUGGGAAUCCAUCAACAACCAGGUUUGCAGGUUAUAGUUCUAUCAACCAGACUGUCACUGUCAAGCCACCUGUUCAGAUUGCUUCACUAGGAAAUGAGAAUGGAAACAUUUUAGAAGAUCCCUUGAACUCGCCCAAGUAUCCACAUAUUCCUUUUAUGCCAACUUUACACUGUGUCAUGCACAACGGUGCCCAGAAGUCUGAAGUUGUCAUUCCUCCACCCAAAUCUGCAGAUGGCAAAACAAUAGGGAUGCUUGUUCCUAGUCCUGUUGCUAUUUCUGCAAUAAGGGAGUCCACAAAUUCAACCCCUGUUGGAAUCCUUGGGCCAACAGCUUCUACUGGAGAAUCAGAAAAGCACCUUGAAUUGCUGGCUUCCCCUUUACCAAUUCCAUCAACUUUCCUUCCACAUAGUAGUACUCCUGCUUUGCACCUAACAUUUCAGAGGCUAAAAUUGCCACCACCACAGGGAUCUUCUGAGAGUUGCACAGUUAAUAUACCACAACAACCAACUGGAAGUCUGAACAUCGGAUCACCAAACACUGCCUUUAUUCCUGUUCAUAACCCAGGUAGUUUUCCAGGAUCUCCUGUGGCUACUACGGACCCCAUCACAAAAUCUGCAUCCCAAGUGGUAGGACUAAAUCAAAUGGUGCCUCAAAUUGAGGGAAACACAGGGACAGUCCCUCAGCCUACCAAUGUGAAGGUAGUUCUUCCAGCAGCUGGUCUCUCAGCUGCACAGCCACCAGCUUCCUAUACCUUGCCAGGCUCUCCCCUUGCUGCCAGUGUGUUACCCACCCCGAAUUCCAAUGUGCUCAACACAGCAGCCACUUCUGCCCAGCCAGCAAGUGCAGGCAUCAGCCAGGCCCAGUCCACUGUUCCUCCUGCAGUUCCUACCCACACCCCAGGCCCUGCCCCAAGCCCAAGCCCUGCUUUGACACACAGUACUGCGCAGAGCGAGAGCACAUCCUACAUCAGUGCUGUGGGGAACACGAACUCUAAUGGCACAAUAGUGCCACCACAGCAGAUGGGCUCAGGUCCUUGUGGUUCUUGUGGGCGAAGGUGCAGCUGUGGGACCAAUGGAAACCUUCAGCUAAAUAGUUACUAUUAUCCCAAUCCAAUGCCUGGACCAAUGUACCGAGUCCCAUCGUUCUUCACUCUGCCAUCCAUUUGCAAUGGCAGCUACCUCAACCAAGCACAUCAGAGCAAUGGAAACCAACUUCCUUUUUUUCUGCCUCAGACUCCAUAUGCAAAUGGACUGGUGCAUGACCCAGUCAUGGGGAGCCAAGCCAACUAUGGCAUGCAACAAAUGGCAGGAUUUGGGAGAUUCUAUCCCGUAUAUCCAGCACCUAAUGUAGUUGCCAACACCAGUGGUUCGGGGCCCAAGAAGAAUGGGAAUGUCUCAUGUUACAAUUGUGGUGUAAGCGGACACUAUGCACAGGACUGUAAGCAGUCAUCCAUGGAGGCCAAUCAACAAGGCACUUACAGACUGAGAUACGCACCUCCCCUCCCCCCUUCUAAUGAUACGUUGGAUUCUGCAGACUGAAACAAGUAAAGCUUGCCUACUUAAUACACUCAAGUGUGGGGAGUCAUGGGGUGUGGAGGGGAGGAAAGGAAAGCCAAUAAAUGUGCACCUGUACGUAGCAGAUGUGUCUUCAGCCCACCUUCAAAUUAACAAGAAUGUCUCCAGUGUCCUCACUUCGGUUACUUGCCUGUCCCUUCUCUCCCCACUAUACCAAGUGAUUUCACAGUCAUACCAGCAAUGUACCAGAGACUCCUGAAUCCAUGUCCUGACACCCUCCCAAGAUGAUGUCAUAGAGCUACGGAAGGCAAGGCCAGGGAUGUGCAACCAGAAGAUGCUGGCCCCAGAGGGGGAGGGACCAUCUGGUACUUGUGAGCAUCCUCAUUUGAGCUUGGAAGACACCUGUUUUCAAUUCUGCAUACUGAUGACAAAAGCAUUCUAAGAUUGAGGCAAUGAAGCCACAUGGAGGCAAGCUGUGGCAGUAAUUCAACCCCACAACCCUUCUGUAAUCUUUUUCUGGAAAGAAGCAAAUGUCAAUUCCCCACCCCACAAAAAAGAGCCCAUUUAUUUUCAGAGAAGUUUUUGAGGUGUGUGCUCUGACUUGAAACAUGGUCACUGCAUACCCUCAGCUUCAAGGAGUGAGGCCAGCUGGGACGAGACGGAGGGGCUCUAUAGUCUGAACUGAGUGGCAGGUGUCACCUGGGGACCAAGGGUGUGUUUCAACUGCAGUACUAUUGACCCUUCAACACGACCCUGAGCGCAGAGGGCACACUAUGGUGGACAACCUUGUCUUCCAGCUCCAAUUUGAUCCACUGUGGAAGGUUUCUGCCAGCCUCUCACCAGAAGAAAUUGCUGAUUGGAAAGCAGUGACACCUGGUGGGAGACAAGGACAGUGCAAGCAAGCAGAUGGUAUUUCCUACUGACCAAAUUUAGAGAAAAUUAAACAUAAGAGAGAAAAAAAUUUGUGAUUAUAAACCUGUGCCCCAACCCUUAAAGAAUGCAGGCAGCUGGCCAUAAAAUCAAUUUGAAUAGUCUCAGCCAUUGCCAUCCCAGUGGUGUAGAAAGCCUAUAAAUAUCCUAAAGGCAUUAACAGUACUUCACAGUUUGCAUUGCACUUUCCUCUGUGUUCAUGUGGUCAUCACAGCUGUGAAGGGGAUGGGCUCUUCCUCUCUAUUUUACAGGUUAGGAAUUCAGGGUUCAGGGAGAUUAAAUGCUGCAGACAACGCCAGUGAUGAAGGCUGGACCCCAACUCCAGAUUAAUGCUCACAGCUGCUGCUCUGCUGGAGCAAGUGCAGAGACUUUUAAAGCCAUAGGACCCACAGAACUUGCAGCUUCUGAUUCCUGAGAGGGUUCGGCCACAUCAUGAGCAUACCGGGCACAUAGGCCAUGUCCUAAUCAAGUAGGGUGUCUCUGUCAGGGUUUCUUCAAAUGGUUAUGGGGAAAAGUUUCCACAACUAGGAAACCUUCGGACUUUCAGAAUUAACCUUUAAGCUUAUAUCCAUCUCAGAUAAAUCCAAGGUGCAUCAGUGCUUGUCUAUAUUGAAGGUUUAAACAUGCAUAAAUACCCUUUGUUGGAAAACAGUUUGACUCUACGAAGGCUUUUCUUAUCCCUGAAUGUCUUAAGCAUGAAGUGAAUGUUCAUUAGUUUGAAGACUUCAGAAAUGAAGCAGUGGUGCAAGCAGAAAGGAAGAGUACUGACUGAUAACCGCGAAGCUCUACCAUUCACACACACAUUGUCCCUUUCUGUGCACCCACCUCCUGAAGAAAACACUGAAGGCAAAGAAUGAUGGUGGCAAACUAACCCUCAUGCAGAAACAGGAAAAAUCACCCAAAGGCUUGCUGAGUACUAAGAGUGCCACCAGAUGACUUACUGAAAGCUCCUCCUUGUUAGGUUAAGUUAGGCAUAUUUGUUACAUGGAAAUGGAGUCAUUCUGAACACCUUCAUAAGAUCAAAGAGGCAGUAUCACCUGUGAUUUUUGUUCCCAAAUCUUACCCGCGUGUGACCUUUCUCAGACUGAUUUACAGAAUGGGGAUAAUAACACUGUGGAGUAGUUGCAAGGAUUAAAUCUGUGAAGUAUAUAAGCACUAAAUGCCUGACACAUAGUAGGCUCGUGUGUGUGUGUGUGAGAGAGAGAGAGAGAGAGAGUAGGCUCUGUGUGUGUGUGUGUGUGUGUGUGUGUGUGUGUGUACGUGCGCGCGCCUGCUCACACCCCAGGAAUCAAACCCAGGGCCUCACAUGUACUAGGCAAGGGAUCUACCACUGAGUCAUGCCCCCUAGCCUCCCCAGUAAUUUGUAACAGUAGGUAUCACUUGAAUGCCCAUUAUAGACCAUACACGUGACUCAUUUCAGCCUCACCAUAUCCCUGUGAGGUAGGUCCUAAACCCCAUUUUACAGUUAGGGAUCUUAGGGCACAAAGGCUGAGGUAAGUGUCCAAGGGCACAGAGCACUUAGGCCCAGGUAGCGUGGCUUUAGGAUGCUGCUCCACAUCUUUGUGUCAGGUUAUAGGUCUGUCACUGAGGUACAGUCAGCCUUGCACUGGAAUCAGGCAGGUCCUGCCUUGGACAUCACCAUCUGGAACAACUGGCCUUCCUGGGCCUUUCAUCUCAUCUGAAAGCUACACAUAUUGUCACUAACAGUGGUAGAAGUUGAGUUAUAUGAUCUCUGUAGUUCCUUUGAGUUACAAAUGCUGUGACUUGAAGCUUACUUAUUCACUUUAUUUCUCAAGGUUUAUAAUUCUUUAGCUUCUUUUUGUUUUGAUGGAUUUGAAGUCCUCUGGUGUGGUCAGGAGCACAAACCUCUACUCCUAACAGCUUGAUACAAGACAGUGUUGAGGCCUUGAGAGAAGGCUGAAAUUAGGCCAGUCAGGCACUAGG
This is an RNA transcript of Sciurus carolinensis (gray squirrel), 6543 nucleotides long. It is a transcript of the gene named zinc finger CCHC-type containing 2, with no coding region annotated. NCBI's taxonomy places the organism in Eukaryota, Metazoa, Chordata, Mammalia, Rodentia, Sciuridae. The record is from RefSeq and is a predicted model, not a curated record. The transcript is spliced from 18 exons.